CCCCUUAGAUGUUCUGGGCUGCACGCGCGCUACACUGAUGCACUCAACGAGUUUACGACCUUGCCCGAUAGGGUUGGGUAAUCUUUUUAAAAUGCAUCGUGAUGGGGAUAGAUUAUUGCAAUUAUUAAUCUUCAACGAGGAAUUCCUAGUAAGCGCGAGUCAUCAGCUCGUGCUGAUUACGUCCCUGCCCUUUGUACACACCGCCCGUCGCUCCUACCGAUUGAGUGCUCAGGUGAAUAAUUCGGACUGCAGCAAUGUUUGGAUCCCGAACGUUGCAGCGGAAAGUUUAGUGAACCUUAUCACUUAGAGGAAGGAGAAGUCGUAACA
RNAcentral lists this ribosomal RNA (327 nucleotides) under uncultured eukaryote. RNAcentral's name for it is "partial 18S ribosomal RNA". It matches the Rfam family "Eukaryotic small subunit ribosomal RNA", at positions 1469 to 1796 of the family's 1831-position model. The record is from RNAcentral.